AUCUACUAUGGUGUAUCAUCCCCUCAUCUUCAGAGAAAAUUCCAACACAGUUUACAGGUAUCACCACCUGAGCACGUGACACUUUCGCAAGCUCAAACCUCCACAUCGUGUGUGUACCCAUCAGCCACCAAGGUAACCUGAAGCCGCCUCCGGCAAGGAUUAGAGACAAGCCAUACCGCUAACGGUCAGCCACGUAGCACACCUGAUCUAGACGAGACUCCCCCGUGCCCUGGCGAAUCAGAACCGCAUGCCUUCCGUCAACAAAAGACAUGUAGCAGCAAGCAAGGGUUGUCGAAGUUGUGGCCACCCGC
This 311-nucleotide long non-coding RNA is filed under the name Hordeum vulgare. Its description in RNAcentral is "long non-coding RNA (HVUL_LNC006025)". The record is from RNAcentral. Lineage: Eukaryota; Viridiplantae; Streptophyta; Magnoliopsida; Poales; Poaceae.